RNAcentral lists this ribosomal RNA (483 nucleotides) under Camptocerus opacicollis. RNAcentral describes it as "partial 28S ribosomal RNA". Lineage: Eukaryota; Metazoa; Arthropoda; Insecta; Coleoptera; Curculionidae. The record is from RNAcentral.
GAGUACGUGAAACCGUUUAGGGGUAAACCUGAGAAACCCGAAAGGUCGAAGGGAGAAAUUCAUUCGCGUUUCGCAAUCGGCGAUUGGCUGUCGUGUGACGGAAGCGUCAUUUGUCGUUUUCGCACCUUCAGUUAGUCGAACCGGAUGCGAACGCGUGCACUUUUCUCCUGGUAGGACGUCGCGAUCCGUUGGGUGUCGGUCUACGGCUCACGGUGGAGCCCGCUUGUCGUUUUUCGAAACGUGUACGAGCGGACCCGUGUGAUUCCCGGCCGACUCGCUCGACGGUAUACAAAAGGUUCGGAGCCGCUCUAGAAGCGUUCGGCUCGCGGCAAGCGCGUCAGAUGUAGUUGGCGAUCGGACCUAGUGCCGAUUCUAACCGUCUGCGACUGUUGGCCGCGAAGUUCUCGAACAGACUCCGUUUCUUGCGUUUACGCCAGAAACUAUAAACCGAUCUGCGACGCUAUAGCUUUGGGUACUUUCAGG